CGAGCAGUUCCGAAAGCAAAUACAACUAAAGUCCGAGAAGAAGAAUACCAAAAGAUCAUCCUUUGAGGAUUAAUAAACCAUACAUCUAGAUCAGACUCAAGCAUCAAUUUAAAGUAAGUGAAUUUCUUAUGGUGAUUAAAUACUCGAUUUAAGACAAUAACAACACCUUCCAACUGUAUAGCUCUAUUAAUUCUUAAUUCGUCUCCCUAAAGGUCCAGCAAGGAACAUCCCUAAUUGAUAUAGUGGUAGUAUAGUAGGAAACCGGGGAAACCUGCCGCGUUUACAGGACGAACGCUGGAUUUUUUCACCAGGGGGCCAGUAACACCUAUUUUCUGAAAUAAGCACCCAAAUGUGAAUGCAUUCAGAGAUGUAUAUCCAUAUCCUAAAGAUGCACGAUUAUGCCCACGUCAUAACGAAUCAUAAUUCUGAUUCACAAGAUUAUAAGCGCCAUGCAUUUGGCAGUUGCCUUGUGCUGCCCCCCGCUGUGUGCGGCCGAGUUUGGUAGAAAUGAAAGCGACAACAAACGACAGAGACGAAAUUGAUAAUAAUAAUAAUAAUAGAGUUUAUUUACCACCUUUGGCAAAUGAAUUACAGUGGUACUACAAAUUCAGAAAGUAUUAAAAAUUUACAACAAUAUUUAAGAAAUAUAAAACUUCAUCGACUAUAAUGUACAUUUUACUGGAAUGAGAAGAUAGCUAUUAUCUAUGUAUACAAGUAAGACUAUUUUAGUUAACUAUGUUCAUUAAAAUAAUUCAACCAGGCAGCUCUCGGUAUGAAUGACUGUUUAAGUCUAUCUGUAAAUGAAAUUGGUGCCAAAAGUGGGUUACAACCUGUCCUUAAAUUAUAUUCAUGUGCGUUAGUUCUACAAAUCAAUCUUUUACACGAGUGAUUUUCUGAAUUUAGUAUAUUAUCAUAUUCUUUACUUGUUACAUAGUUUCUUCUUGACGCAAGCGGCUCAAUUUUAUUUCUCGGCUUUAUUUUAUUUAUAGUCUCGUCUUGACGCAAGCGACUCAAUUUUAUUACUUGUAGUAGUCGAUACCCACAGCAUGCCCCCACCAACACCAUAUUUCUUACUAUGGUGAUUAAGUAUUAUUCAAAAUAGCAAUAACAUUGGUUUAAUAUAAAAUAUACAUCAACCGUUGGCUAUAGCAAGCUUUUAACCUGCAUGGUAGUACUUAGCCAAUUGCGCAUUUAUCUUUUUAAGAAAUCAUUUUGAUGUGAGCCUAUCUGGGCUGGGUUUUAAUCUGACCUUCUAUUCAUACUUCAGCGUUUUUUCACACGAGAACAAGGAACAUGCACAAUAUUAAAAAGGGAACAAGGUUAACAUGUACAAUAUCACAAUUAUAUGUACCGGAGGAGUUUAUGAGAAUUGUAACUAUGGGUUCCACAGAACAAUUAUUCGAGUUUCUUUGCGCUGGUUUGUUGAUUAAGAUGCAUUAAUCGCACUGAUAAAACUGUAUAAUUCUUGGGUUGUGUUUUCUGCUCUUCGCUUCCGAUGCAUCGCUUUGGAAAUUUAAUUCAACUGAACAUUUCAUACAAUGAGAUCUUUUUUAAUCAUGAGAAGUUAUGAGGUGCGAAAUGAGCUCCAUUUUUUAUGACAAUCGAAAAAAUUAUCUACCCACUACCUGCAGGGGUUAAUUAAAAUAUUUUACCAUUUCUGUUUUUUUUCGUGUAUUGUGAUAAAUAGCAUAGAUGGCUAAAAUAUGGUAAGCCAAAAAUGUGCUUAUGACGAUCAUUGUUAUUAGUGGCACAAAAAAAUUAAUUGUGAAAAGUCAGAUUAUACUUUAAAGGAUUAUAUUUGGAUUAUAAACUAUUUCAUAUGUAAUCCUGUUAUAUAUAUACACGUCUAUAGUGUAAAGCACGUUUACCACAAGGCGCAUUCAUUCGCGCGAAAAGACUUUUUCUUUGUCGGCAUCGCUUACACGUCAUUACUUUUAUCUGGAUGACCCAGCGCCUAAUUCCAACAGCCCCCCCCCCCCUGAUUCCAAGGUCCCCAAUGGUGUAAUGAUUGCUCUAUUAGUUUUGCCAGUUCCUUCUGUUGCUAGAAGGGAGAAAACAGAAGUGUCCGGGGAGGGGGAACUUGUACUGUUUGCUAGAGUUACUAGAGUUACUUGGAAGGUCUCUUUUCGCAUGCGAUUGAAGAGAAAUCCGACAACUGCUUAUUGAGAAAUCGACCCCCCACACCCCCCCCCAACCAGCCAAGAGCACAUGGAUCAACCGCUGUUACCACCAACACUCCUCUAUUAUCCAGAUCAAUGAGCGCAAUUUUAAAAUCACGUGCCGCAGAAUGCAAAAAAUGUUCAAACUUCCUCCGGGUAAAAUUAAAUUUCAAGUUUUAAUGCAAAUUUUGGCUUUUGAAAUUUGCAAAAUAUAAAAAUGUUGUCAUUCAAAAUCGGCAUCUUAUUCCUAUUUCCUGCUGACUAUGGUCUUGGUCGGCUGGUUGGUUACAUUGUACUCGCAUACAAGCAGUAAAUGCUGGCGACCUCUAACAGAUGUAUGUUACGAUUGCUACAGAACCGCCGGCCCCCUUCAACCCAGUGAGUGAACCUUCCUCGCGGGUGGUACCCCCAUACCUGCGGCUUUUUUGCAACUCUGCGUGACCGCCCAAGUGGGCGAAAUAGGAACUUUUUAGUCAUGAAAAAAUGACAGCUUUUGGCCGCUACCUUCAUCCCUUCGGAAAACAUCCUGUCCAUAUACUCACGCUGAUAUCUCUAGUGACAGAUGCAGCAUUAAGGUUACAACCUUACAUGCAGUGCAAGUGGAUUAAAAUAUGUAUUUUUCAACGUUUUCCCAAAAUAGCAUGCGAUAGAGGACGUUUUUCGUGAAACGAUUACGCAUACAUUUUCAAGAAAAAAAAAACAACAAAAAAACAAAAAAAACACUUUUGAGUGAGUUGCUAAUUAAACCUCGAUUAGAUAGCUAUAAAUAACUUGAAACGAUCAUAAUAAUUAAACUUUAUUUGAAGAAGGUGUGUAUAAUACAUAUAUAGCACAAAUUCAAAGAACUACAUGAACUACAUUAUAAUUGUAUCUAAAAGUGUUUGUAACCUCUUGUUCAGUUAAAGGUAUUAAGUGAUGUUGAUUGUCUUAUCUCAAGUGGUAAACUAUUAUAUAAAGUUGCACCACUGUCCGACUGACUGUAUAGCAAAGCAUCAAUUUUAGCAGUUCUGGAAUUUUUGGUUAUAAAGAUGUUUGCAAAGUGAUAGGCCAUCCCACGCGUAGAUGAUCAAGUUUAGUUAUCAGAAAUCAGUCUAAAAAUACUUGAAUUAUCUAUCCAUCGCCCAUCGGCAUUGCCAUUGGUUUUUUAAAAUUCUUGAACUCUUGACUCCCGAAUUUUCAAUGCCAUAAAAUAUGGGUCUGAACAACCUGUGUAUCGGUUGACCUCUCAAAAAGAACUACCUAUGGCUAUGUAUAGAUUGUAUGCCUUCGACUCUAAAUUAAGUUGCCGUGGGGUUUGAACUACUUGAAAAGGAUUAAACACAUGGUCUUCGACGUUUCGAAGGACUGCCUUUCUUCAAAGCCAAAGGCUGUCGUCUGUCGAAGCGGUUUGUUCAAAACGACCUAAUGUUUUGAAUAUAUUUGAGGUAAUUCAGACACAAACCACGGCAGCCUAAAAUAUAUAAACAUUGUAGUAACAGAGAAUAUUUCCAAAUACCUUGAACAGUAGACGGAUGGGUAGAGCCAAUGGCAAUGAACCACGUCCACGGCCGCAGAGAGUAGAGUGUUAUAAAUCACGACUCAACUCAACUUAAGAAUGUGAUGUGGGUUGCUUGAGAAUUAUAUGACUCAUAUUAUUAUUGGAUUCACAACUUUAUUAAAUGUCUGAAGCAUGUUUACCGGCUUUGUUAGGUUUCUGUUCGCCCAAAAGUGAAGUGAUGAAUGUGACAGCCAACAUCGCCCAAAUGCAAAAAAAUAAUUUGAAUAUUUACAUGAGCGAUAACGCUAUUGAGGCAGCGUUUACACUGUACCGUUUUCGUAGCGUUCUCGUAUUGUUCUUAAUCCUCAAGGGAACGCAAGACAUAGUCUAGUUCUCUCGAACAAUACGAGUACGCUACGAAAACGGUACAGUGUAAACGCUGCCUAAGGAUACUCCAGGGACAAUAAAGUAUUCAUUUUUCUCGCAUGAGGGUGCAGGGCCGUAGAUUUAUAUUGUUUUAAAUUCCCUUAGGCUUAGGCAUGGACAACAAUCCAAAACGAAUGUAAAAUUCUUCUAUAGAAUUAUUGCAUAUAGGAUUUCCCUAUUCCGGAACACAUGCAGCUAUUUAACACUUAGACAACGAGGCCGAGUUGUCUUUGAGCGAAUAGUCAACGAGGCGAAGCCGAGUUGACUAUUUGCUCAUAGACAACGAGGCCGAGUUGUCUAAUUGUUUUAGUAUAAACUUUAACAUCAAUUUACAACUACAUGUAGGCUGCAGACACAAUACAAAAAUAUACACAAAAACCAUUAAAUGUAAACAAAUAUUUUAGUUUAUAAUAUUUUAGUUUAACAAUAUUUUGUUCUAAUUACUAAUGUUUGACCAUAUAAAAUAUCUUGUUCUAAUUGCUGAAUUUGUAACAACGGCGAGGAAGCUCUUGCGAUGGCUUCCUAACUGAUGUCGAGCAAUUCCAACUUCUUUACUAUUGAAAGACUAUUAUAAAUAUAGGUACAUGUGAACUGUAGUCUUAAUUAACUUAAUUUUAAGUUUUUGAAAGACUUUUAUAAUAGGUAGAUUGUAUUAUAGUUUUGAACAAACUUAUUUUAUAUCUAUUUUAUUGCUUGUAUUUUUUAUCUAGAAGUAGAGUCUUAUUAAUAUUAUAGCCUGCGUAACAGUCGCUUUAUUUUUUAAGGUUUUGAGGAUAUUUUUAUUUGAGGAUCCUCAAAUAAAAAUAUCCUCAAAACCUUAAAAAAAAAGCGACUCGCGCAGGCUAUGUCUUAUAUGCACUGAAAUGUUUUACCCUCUGUAAAGAUUUUGUAAUAUAUAAAUAACAAAAUUAUCCACCAAACCCAGCAUUCAAAUUCAACCAAGUGAAGACUGAAGUGUAAAAAAUAUCUUUCAGCGCGAUAUAGCGAUACCGACAAAGGGAAAAGUCGCUUCACGCGAACAAAUUAACCUCUCAAGAAAUUAUCCAACAAUAGUCUAUACCUAAUCUUUCCUUUUAACAUUUCCUUACAGAUGAAUACCAAGCAAUUUCUCACAAUCGUCACCAUUCUUUCGAUGGUGUUUCAGUCCCAACAAACGUCUCCCACAUCCAGCGCCUUGAACACAUGUUUAACCAAGUGUACUAACAAGUACACAAGUUGUAAAACUACUGCAAGUAACCCAACCCAACUAAAAAAAUGUGUAACGGCCCAAACCAACUGUAACAAUAAAUGUGUGAAGAACGGCAAGGUCAAACGAAGUGUAUUAUGGAGAUUAUAGCAAAGAACACUUGAGCGACUUCAAGAUGGUGCAGAUAUUAGAACAUUAUAACACCAAAAAUAUACAUUCAGGAAGGCAAAUUAGUCAUGCAUGUAAAUAGGUAUUUUACUCACUGAUCUCUAGACUAGACUGGAUAGAGGCCAGAAUUUCGAGUCAAUUUCGAGUUGGGACAAAUCAAUUAGCCAUUCUGAAGUUGAUGAGUGGACUGGGGACGAGUGCCCAAAUUAAGAAAUUAACCAAAUCACUAAAAAGACCACCUCAAAAUUAGUAAGUAUACGAAGUUUGAAAACAUUUACAUGAAUACCCUUCGAAUAAAAAUAUUCAAAAACAAAAAUUACAAUACAUUUCAUAGUAAAUAUCGCGAUUUUCGAAAGCUUAUUAUUCGAAGGGUAUUCAUGUAAACGUCUUCAAACUUUGUCUACAUACUAAUUUUGAGGUGGUCUUUUUAUUGAUUUGGUUCAUUUCUUAAUUUGGGCACUUUUUAACACUCGUCCCCAGUCCACUCAUCAACUUCGGAAUGGCUAAUCUAUCCAUUUCUAGCUUUGAGAUCAGUGGUUUUACGAAGCACUAUAACACGGAAUAAUUACAUACAGAGGUUUCACUUCUGCGAAAAAAACCGUAACUCCGUAACGUAGUUUUACUGCGCAUAUCUGGCGUUCAUAUUCUUAGUAAGUGCCCUAAAGAGACACAUUCACCCCCCGGAACAUUAAAUUUCAAUAUGUUUUCAGGGGGUGACGGCCUCUCUUUAGGGCACUUGCUAUUAAAGAACAUGGCGGACUGGGGAUUAACCUGAAGUGAGACCUCUGUAUGUAAUUACUCUGUGACUAUCUAAUGUAUAACUCAUCAAUAUUUAAGAAAAUGUACUGGUAUCAUUGGCCGGAGAGAGAAUCGUUUAAGAACGCUAGACUAAUAGUACUUCUGGGAUAUUGUUGUUAAGAACGUAUAAAUUUGGUGGCACUGAAAACUACGGUAGUCAAAUGCAU
This 6381-nucleotide long non-coding RNA is filed under the name Paramuricea clavata. Lineage: Eukaryota; Metazoa; Cnidaria; Anthozoa; Malacalcyonacea; Plexauridae. The record is from RNAcentral.